CUGAGAAGACCAUUUACAGUGUGAGUGAGACCAUAGUUAUAAAUUGUACAACCUCUACACCGUCAGCUCUAAAUGUUCAAUGGUAUUUUAACCAAGAAUAUCUAGACUCAAACCAAGUCAUAUCUAUAACAGCUGAUAUAUCACAGAUUUCUAUCACAAAUGUUGCAUUUGAUGAUGCUGGCAAUUACUCAUGUGGUUUGUUAGGAGACGUCCCAUCUGAUUGGCAGACGAUUGAACUACAGGUUGGAGUUGCGCCAACACAUGUUGCCAAUUUCACUUGUUAUACCUUCAACAUAGAUGAUAUAUUUUGUUCCUGGGAUGAAGGAAGUAAAACAAACAUUCCAACCAGUUACACUUUCUACUAUACAGCAUAUUACAGAAACGAUUAUGUACCAGACCAUAAGAGUUAUAAUUGGACAGAGUGUCCGGAUAGUGAAAAGUUUCCUGACUGUCCAGAUGAAAUCCAUGAUUACACUUACUCCUGUUAUCUGCUGUUUGAAUAUGAUCACCUAGGAUCUCGACACAACGUGUCAGUGGUAGCACGUAAUGACUUGGGUACAGUCACCUCAGCAUUGGAGUUUAACCCUGACCUUGAAG
Saccoglossus kowalevskii is the source of this 597-nucleotide long non-coding RNA. The record is from RefSeq and is a predicted model, not a curated record. NCBI's taxonomy places the organism in Eukaryota, Metazoa, Hemichordata, Enteropneusta, Harrimaniidae.